GCGGGUGUAGUAUAGUGGUAAUACAUGACCUUCCCAAGGUCGAGAUGGGGGUUCGAUUCCCCUCACUCGCU
RNAcentral lists this transfer RNA (71 nucleotides) under Parcubacteria group bacterium GW2011_GWA2_38_13b. RNAcentral describes it as "tRNA-Gly". It matches the Rfam family "tRNA". From Rfam's summary of the family: Transfer RNA (tRNA) molecules are approximately 80 nucleotides in length. The record is from RNAcentral.